RNAcentral lists this ribosomal RNA (494 nucleotides) under uncultured Gigasporaceae. RNAcentral's name for it is "LSU rRNA". It matches the Rfam family "Eukaryotic large subunit ribosomal RNA", at positions 288 to 673 of the family's 3401-position model. Lineage: Eukaryota; Fungi; Glomeromycota; Glomeromycetes; Diversisporales; Gigasporaceae. The record is from RNAcentral.
CUAAAUGGGUGGUAAAUUUCACCUAAUGCCAAAUAUAAGCGAGAGACCGAUAGCGAACAAGUACCGUGAGGGAAAGAUGAAAAGAACUUUGAAAAGAGAGCUAAAUAGUACGUGAAAUUGUUGAAAGGGAAACGAUUGAAGUCAGUCAUGCCGGUGAGAAUCAACUUUGGGGAAGGGGGAUUUUUUUGAACCUAACUUUGAAGUGCACUUCUUCGCUUGGCAGGUUAGCGUCGAUUUUGAACGUCAUAAAAUGAUUGGGGGAAGGUAGCUCUUUUGGGAGUGUUAUAGCCCUUAAUUAAUGUGAUAUUUGGGAUCGAGGAUUGCAACGGAUACCUUUUUAGGCUAGCCGCCUGGCCUCUGAUUCGAUGUUGGGUUAUAGACAGCACGCUGACUAUGAUCUGAUUAUUGGUCAAAAGGUUAGAGCGAGCAUAAAUUCGUUAAGGACGCUGACGUAAUGGCUUUAAACGACCCGUCUUGAAACACGGACCAAGGAG